AAAAAAAUAAAAAAAAUAAAACCUCUCAUGGGGUAGACUAAGGGAGUUAUGUGGGACUUCGACUUGAAAUGUCGGCCAGACCAAAAUAAGAUACCACUAUACAAUCAUUUACUAUCUUCACAGCAUUACGUGAUUUCUCUCCCUAUAAAUACCCAAAGAAAGCCUCAAUGUUUUGACAUAAAAAACUCACAUUCAUCUUCAAUAUCUUGUUAUUCACACACCAUACACUCAAAAACACAUUUCUUUAUUCUACAAGAAAGAUGGAGAAUUUCCCAAUUAUCAACUUGGAAAAAUUAAAUGGUUCUGAAAAAGCUGCCACCAUGGAAAUGAUUAAGGAUGCUUGUGAAAACUGGGGCUUCUUUGAGGUAAAUCUCUUCAUAAAAAUGUUUCCUUAAUUAUGGGUUCUGAGCUUGCCAUAAAACCCAUAACUCGU
Molecule: long non-coding RNA, 433 nt
Filed under: Nicotiana tabacum (common tobacco)
Lineage: Eukaryota; Viridiplantae; Streptophyta; Magnoliopsida; Solanales; Solanaceae
Description: long non-coding RNA (NTAB_LNC014202)
Source: RNAcentral